This 222-nucleotide ribosomal RNA is filed under the name uncultured bacterium. RNAcentral describes it as "partial 16S ribosomal RNA". It matches the Rfam family "Bacterial small subunit ribosomal RNA", at positions 109 to 334 of the family's 1533-position model. The record is from RNAcentral.
AGUAAUGUAUGGGGAUCUGCCCGAUAGAGGGGGAUAACUACUGGAAACGGUGGCUAAUACCGCAUAAUGUCUACGGACCAAAGCAGGGGCUCUUCGGACCUUGCACUAUCGGAUGAACCCAUAUGGGAUUAGCUAGUAGGUGGGGUAAAGGCUCACCUAGGCGACGAUCUCUAGCUGGUCCGAGAGGAUGAUCAGCCACACUGGGACUGAGACACGGCCCAG